Characodon lateralis is the source of this 94-nucleotide non-coding RNA. NCBI's taxonomy places the organism in Eukaryota, Metazoa, Chordata, Actinopteri, Cyprinodontiformes, Goodeidae. The record is from the annotation of a GenBank genome assembly.
UGCCCAUUGGCUCAGUGGUAGAGCAGAUGCACCACAUGCAGAGGCUAUACUCCUCAAAGCAGUUGUCCCUGGUUCAGUUCCUGGCCAUGGGCCA